Molecule: non-coding RNA, 4314 nt
Organism: Poecilia reticulata (guppy)
Lineage: Eukaryota; Metazoa; Chordata; Actinopteri; Cyprinodontiformes; Poeciliidae
Source: RefSeq, a predicted model, not a curated record
AUAAUGAACAUCUACUAUGACAUCUCGUAUAUCACAUCUCGCGCACUUAUUAAAUGUGCUCCUGUCACUCUUUUAGUCUGUCAUUCCAUUUCUGUCCAUUUGUCACAAGACAUUGGUGCAGUAUAACAUUCUUGAUGUCUUCCAUGUGUCUCUGCCUUCUGUUCUGUAGCCUAGAGGGUAGGACUGGAAAUGAGAAAUAUUUAAGAAAGUAACAAAGGAACCAGAACUCUCUUUCAUUUGUUUACCAUGUGUUUCUGAUAUUCKUGAUUCUUCAUGUUUUAGCUGUUUUUAGCUAAAAUAUGAAAUAACCUAAAUUUUUGUUACUGACUUCUCUUCUAUUGYUUCUCAUCUACAGGAUGAYGGAGAUGUGGAAGACGACRUGACACUUCGUGAGAUUGCAGAGUGGGAGGAGAGCCAGCUUGAUGAGCAAGUCAACUUCAACAACUGCAAGAUUGACCCCGCCCCCUUUCAGCUGGUGGCGCACACUUUGCUGCAUAAGACUCACAAGCUUUUCUCCCUGCUGGGCCUCGACCACGCCUACGUCACCAGCACCGGCCGUCUCAUCGGGGUGGUUUCCCUCAAGGAGCUACGCAAAGCCAUCGAGGGCACUGUGACAGUAAAAGGCGCAAAGCUGCAUCCGCCUCUGGCCAGCUUCAGGGACAAUGGGACCAGCAGCAACAAGACGGAGGCGACGGAGCUCCAUAAGCUGUGGGACCGUCACAAGACCGUGUCGCUGCCAGGAGAACAACCCACGUCGGAGUCCAAUGAGUAGUCCCAGUGAGGGAAAGCCGAGGACAAAUAGGAAGAAGAGGUGCAGGUGGGGGAAGAGGAGGUGGAGGAUGCAUUGACAUCUAUAAUCUCCAAAUCUACAAACAUGUAGAAUUCCUCAGGGCUUCAAAUCAUUAUUUAAACACACCAUGUUCCAAAUUAUUAUCCAAAUUGGAUUAAAGUGCCAUAAAGAUUCAAUUUUUGUUGUGCUAUUAAAUUUAUAGAUGGUAUUGUGUGUCAGGGGUCUUUGAAUCACUAUAAUUAAUUUCAGAGACCUGGGUUGAUUAGUUUGUCUGGUGAGCUCAAUUAGAGGAAAUCUACUUAAGAAGGAUGUUCCACAUUAUUAAGCAGGUCACAGGUUUCAAACAAAAUGGGAAAGAGAAAGGAUCUCUCUGCUGACGAAAAUCAUCAGAUAGUGUAGUGCCAUAUGACAAGGUAUGGAAACAUUAGAUAUUUAACGAAAACUGAAGCAAUAUCAUCGUACUGUGAAGAGAUUUGUGGCUGAUUCAGAACAAAGAUGGGUUUGUGCAGAUAAAGGCAUAAUGAGGAAGGUUUCUGUUAGACAAAUUCAUCGGAUUAAGAGAGCAGCUGUUAAAAUGCCCUUACAAAGCAGCAAACAGUUAUUUGAAGUUGCUGGUGCCUCUCGAACCUCAAGGUGGAGGAUCCUCCAGAGGCUUGUGGUGCAUGAACAUACUAUUCGGCCACCCCUACCCAUUGCUCACAAGCAGAAACGGUUGCAGUGGGCCCAGCCAUACAUGAAAAUUAAUUUUCAAACAGACUUGUUCACUGAUGACCGCUGUGCAACCCUGGAUGGUUCAGAUGGAUACAGUACUGGAUGGGUGGUGGAUGGCCACCACAUCCCAACACGGCUUUGACGUCAGCAAGGAAGGUGGUAGAGUCAUUUUUUGGGCCGAAAUCAUGGGGAGAGAGCUGGUCGGCCCCUUUAGGGUCCCUGAAGGUGUGAAAAUGAACUCAGCAAAGUAUAUAGACUUUCUGACUGAUCACUUUCUUUCAUGAUUCAAAAAGAACUAUUUGCUACCUUCCGUAGCAAAAUCAUCUUCAUGCAUGACAAUGCACCAUCUCAUGCUGCAAGGAAUACCUCUGUGUGAUUGGCAGCUAUGGGCAUAAAAGGGAUCACAAUCCUGCUCUGACCUCAACCCUAUUGAGAGCCUCUGUAGUUUCCUCAAGCAGAAGAUAUGCAGGUGGGAUGCAGUUCAUAUCAAAACAGCAGCUCUGGGAAGGUAUUCUGACAUCCUGCAAAGAAAUUCAAGCAGAAUCUAUCCACAAACUCACAAGUUCAAUGGAUGCGAGAAUUGUGCAGGUGAUAUCAAAGAAGGGUUCCUAUGUUAACAUGUAACUCGAUCUGUUAAGAUGUUUUGCAUUGAAAUAGCUUUUGAUUUUAGUAUAUGUGACCACUUAAUGCUGCACAUUCAAAGAAGGACUGUUUGCAGUUCUUCAUAAUACAUUAAAUGUUUAGAAAAUCUGCCGUGCAUAAUAAUUUGGAACGGUGCAUUUUAAGUUUUUUAUUUUUGAAAAAUCUACUGUUCUCAUUGGAAGCUUUGUUCAGUAAAAUUUGAUUUGUACUGUAAUAGUUUAUGACUUGAAAAUUAUACUGACCAUCAUUUGCAUUGACCAUUUAGGAAAAUCUACGAAAAUAUCACUUGCAUAAUAAUUUGGAACACGGUGUAUUGUUAGACUACUGUUGGGCAUGAAUGUGUAACAGCACUGUGUUUUCUGAUUCCUGACAUGACAGAUAACACUCAAUACCUUCCAUGUCUGCCAUAGUUCCUUCUGUUCAUUAAGAGGAAAACAUUUCUUCCAGCUUCUCCAUCCUGUCCUAAACAUCCUAAACAUCYUUUAGGACCAGACAAAGAUUUUUGCCACCAUUCUAUUGCCUUAUAAAAACUCUCCCMGCCUCCUAAUGUCUUCAGUGGUUUUAAAUAGAUUUUAGCAUCUUUUCUUGUUUGGUUCUGCAGAAUAGGAAGUGUCUGCAGCGACAAAGCAUGGCUUUGCAUGACAGAAUGCAUGUGGCAUUUAUUUUAUAUGAUCAAAACGCACCAAAAGCAACACACAUGAUUGGCCGGAUGAAUGAUGUCUUGGAUUUGCCAUCCUGUGCCUGUAUUUUCUGCCAUUCUGCUGCGCCUCCCUCUUAUCCAGUAAUCUUUAUUCGUUACCUGAUUUAUAACCGGGUAUUGGGGUCUUUGUGGGCUCAGAAACUUACAGAUUAAUAUAUUUAAUAUCAUUCCUGUAAUCUGAAAUCAUGAUUUUGUGUCUUAACCAAUCUUCCUUGUUGACUCGUCUCUUUUUCUUUCUGGGGAGAUUUUUCAUGUUUCGUAUUUAUCAUUUUGUCGCUUUUUUGAAUGAUUUAAAAGUUAUUUUUGUAUAUUUAACAUGCUGUCUGAAACAUUUCUACAGUCGAGAUUUAUUUGUGAAAUGCGAAUACACUAACAGGGUGAUAGCUUGCGGCGCGUGUCUGAUGGCAAACUGAAGAACCAGAAUAAUGAAGUUAAAGGAAUGAACUUGCUCAUUCCACAAGUGCCUCCUUCUCUUUUAUCAGUGGGAAUAAAAGCGGUGCAGAACUGCUUCGCUCCUCAUAGACAUGUAGACCAGUCGCUUCUUGCACUUGUUCCGUAAUAUGUUAGUGGCUUGAUGGUGUUUCACGGCAGUGUGCARUUGCUACCAUGGYAAYCGUGGUGUCUGCUCACCCCAGGGGGAGCUGAAAGCACUCCUCUCAUUUGGUUCUGUUCAUUUGUUUGCGCCUUUUCAUCGAUUCUCAUUGUUCUGCCGGGUCCUUUCACCUCGCCGCAGAUAUCUCAUCUCAUCUGCUGYGGAGAGAGGUCGCUGGCUCUUUAUCAGCCUGCAUUAAUCACAGUAGAAGUUGUAAAUUUUCGUUUUAUUGGUGGAUCUGCUUGUGGGUAAUUGAUUUGUGCAAUAACAGUAAUUCAUCUCAUUUUCUAGACCUGUUUUAAUUGAUAUGAAUGCAAGAUAACCUUAUUUUUGUAAAGAAAUCUGAAAAGAGYAAAAAGAUUUAUGUAUACAAGAAGAAGUAGCGUGGUAAGGUCUUUGACUGUUUGUAGAGGAAGGUUUCCCAGAAGCCUCUGGAAAUUAAAAUUCACAUUGCAACAGUAAUCUGCACUUUUGGUGUCUCAGUUGGGCUUUUUGGAAACCUUAUCUGGAAGACUGUGGCGAAGCUGCUCCUCUCAUCCGAGCCUCCCGAGGCACACAGUCAGUUUUAUCGUGCUUCCUUCCAUCCUUCAGUCAGAGCGGCUUUGAUGAGCCCAGAUCUUUUUUCCACUCCUUAUGGGACUGUGCAUUACAGCAAGCCAAGGGGUCCAAACCAGAGCAAAAUUCCAGAGUUAUUUUUCACAUCGAAAAUUAAAACAUUGAUUUUUUUUUUUGUACAUCAUGAUGAAUAAAUAUGAUUUUAACAAACGAGUGUUUGUGUUGGAGUGUGUUUUCUGUCUGAGAGUCUUGGUCAUCCUGCAGCUGCGCUCCUGUCCUCUUGUCAUCUUUAAUUCCCCCUCCAGUGACAACUGGAACGCACCU